ACUUUUGGUUGCCCCCCCAAUAUUAAAUAAGCACUAAACCCAGAAAGUCUUAUAAUUAAAUCUUAAUCUAAUGAACAACAUCUUAGUUGAUGAUUUAUUUAUACAUUGGAAGACAGAGAAAAUGAGGCUAUGGAGUGAAAAGAUUACAGUUACAGAAGAAAAAUGUCAGGUCCAGAGUGCUGCUCAAAUGCACCAAUCCUCAAUCCAAACUCUGGAGUCGGCCAUGUUGAAAAACUUGGAGGUUUAGACACCUAUGUCAUGGUCCCUCUGACUCUAACCUUGCCAUUCUUAUGGUUUCCGAAGUUUUUGGAUUUGAAGGUCCGAACCUAAGAAAACUUGCAGACAAGGUUGCAGCUGCAGGGUACUAUGUAGUGGUUCCUGAUUUUUUAUACGGAGAUCCCUUCACUUCAGAAAAUGCUAACAGACCUCUACCUAUUUGGUUAAAAGAUCAUCAACCAAAUGAAGCUUUUGAAGAUGCAAAACCAGUGAUUGAAGCUUUAAAACACAAAGGUGUUUUGUCUAUAGGAGCUGCCUCUUUUUGUUGGGGUGCCAAGGUUGUGGUAGAACUUGCCAAGUCUAGAUUAAUCCAAGCUGCUGUGCUACUACACCCAUCAUUUAUCACCUUGGAUGACAUCAAGGGGGUUAGUAUUCCAAUUGCAGUACUUGGAGCUGAGAUUGACAAAUAUUGUCCUCCAGAACUCCUCAAACAGUUUGAGCAACUCCUAACUACUGAACUUGGGGAUGAUUGUUAUGUAAAGCUAUUUCCAGAAGUUUCGCAUGGUUGGACUAUCAGGUACAAAAUUGAAGAUGCAAUGGCUGUAAAAGCUGCAGAUGAGUCCCAUCAAAUUUUACUAGAAUGGUUUGCUAAGCAUGUAAAGUGAAAAGCAUUGUUUGAUGAAAGUCUUCCAUGCGAAUUAUUUAUACAUCCUUUAUCGAGAUUGCUACCUGUAUUGAGGGGACAUGCAUUGUUGAUUAUCAUUGGCAUUAAAAGUGGACAAUAUAGGGGGAGAAAUGAUUCUUAGACAUCAAGAUUAGAUUAUUUUCGAAAAGUGUCUAAGUUGCAGCAGAUAAAAAACAAGUGAAAGAAAGAUGGAGAUAAACAUAUAGUACUUUUUUUUUCUCCGUGGCGCAGUUGAGGCACCCAAGAUUUAUGCAUACGCCCUUCUCUCUCUCUUUUUUUAUUUUUUUUUUAUUUUUUUCACUCUUUAAGUAAUAUUUUUUAUCGGCAUUAGUAAUUUGUCAAAGAUUUUUAUUUUAUUUUGUUAUUGCUUCAUAGUUUAUAAUAAGGUUUAAAACAAAAUAUUUCGAAUAAAAAAUAGAGAAGAAAUAUAUAUUAGAAAUUUGAUUAUAUUAAAAUGGACUUGAAUGUUUAACAAGAGAAGGUAUUGUAGGAUAUAAUUUAAUAUAAACGGGAGAGAAAUGUAAUAAAUAAUCUUUUAAUGUAGUGUAAUUUUCUCUAAUAUGUCUUUGACUUUCUCCACUUCUCAUAAUCCUCAUCGUUGCUUUCAAUAAAUUUUUCAAAAAAUAAAAAUAAAAAUCAUUUUCAAUGCAAAUAUUAUUGUACUUAGUUGUAAGUCUUAUUUUUUGUGGUAGCUGGGGUUUGAACUCUGGACCUUGCAUAUAUUAUGCACUGUCCCUUUUCAACUGAGUUAAGUUCAGGACCGGCCCUGGGGAGGUGCAAACAGCUCUACAGAGCUGGGCCUCCCCAAUUUUGGGGCCCAAAAUAUUUUUUUUUUUAAUAUAUAACGUAUUGAAAUUUUAAUAUAUAGGCAUAGCAUAGAAUUUUUACAAACUAAAUGUUGUGGCCUAGCGGUUAACUGUGGUAGUGUAGUGCAUUUUGUCUGCGGUUCAACUCCCAUAUAUGGCAAAUGUCUUUUUUUUUUUAAUUGUAUUAUUCUUUUAUCUCUUUUGGGCAUAAUUUUAAUGGAUUUGAGGUCUAUAUUUCAUCAAUACUUUCUCUUCUCCUUCCAAUUCAAUUCACUUCUUUUGCAAAGCUGUAACAACAAACAUUAUAAUUAUUCUAAAAAUAAAGAAAACAUUAUGUUCUUUUUUUCUUUUAAAAAAAUUGUAUAUUUUAGGGGCCUAUUAAUAAUAAGAGAGCCAGGCCUCCAAUUUCACAGGGACGGCCCUGGUUAAGUUCAUGAAAACACCUAAGAUGUUUACAUGCUUUAGUUGAAAAGGAUUUACUUCUUUUUUUCAAUUGGUUGUACUCGAAAAUAUUGUCUUUGUACUGAAACGUUUUGAAUUCAUUGUUUCCUUUUUUAGGUCAAGUCAUUGAUUUUACUUGUCAAAUUUAAACUUUCUUCUUUGUUUUUAAGCAAAUAAAAAUGUAAAAACAUUCAUUACUUAAGAGAGUGCAUGAAUCCCCUGAAUUCUUUUCAACAAAAAUUACUUGCGAGAAUAAUUAGUUGUUAUAGAAUUAUUUUGAUUUUGCUCUGAAAGUUGUUGAAAGACAAAAUUGACAAAUAAAAUAAAAUAAAUUACGUUUGACAAUAGCUUUUGUCUAAUUGGAGUGAUCCUUUAAAAAAAUUGGAAUUUGUAUAUUUAUAAUUGAAUGAUUGACAUCUAUUAUUGAGAUGAUCCUUAAAAAAAGUUUAAGAAUUUGUAUAUUUAGAAUGAUAGAGUCAUGCUAACAACUUCAAAUUAUCUGCAUUUGUUAGCAAACAAUUUCUAUAUUAAAAUAAAAAUUACGUUAUUUCCUACAUCUAGUCUAGUUAUAAAUAGAAAUGGGAGUGUUGAGUAUUGGAGGGAAGUGCAGUUAGCAAAACAAAAAGUCAAAGAAACAAAAAUGUCAGGUCAUGCAUGCUGCUCUAACCCACCAAUUCUGAACCCCUUUAGUGGAGCUGGCCAUGUUGAAAAAAUUGGUGGUCUUGAUGCUUACCUCACUGGCUCUCCUCUUUCCACCAAAGCCAUUCUCUUUGUUUCUGAUAUCUAUGGAUAUGAAUCUCCAAUUAUAAGGAAUCUUGCCGACAAGGUUGCGGCAGCAGGUUAUUAUGUGGUAGUUCCUGACUACUUCUAUGGUGAUCCCUAUGAUGAUGACCGUGUUGACAGGCCUUUACCUAUUUGGAUGGAAGACCAUGAACCGGACAAAGGUUUUGAAGCUUCCCAACCAAUAAUUGAAGCCU
Medicago truncatula (barrel medic) is the source of this 3125-nucleotide RNA transcript. It is a transcript of the gene named endo-1,3;1,4-beta-D-glucanase-like, with no coding region annotated. The record is from RefSeq and is a predicted model, not a curated record. The transcript has 10 exons. NCBI's taxonomy places the organism in Eukaryota, Viridiplantae, Streptophyta, Magnoliopsida, Fabales, Fabaceae.